AGGACGAACGCUGGCGGCGUGCUUAACACAUGCAAGUCGAACGAACCUUCGGGUUAGUGGCGAACGGGUGAGUAACACGUGGGCAACCUGCCUCGAGCUCUGGGAUAACACCGGGAAACCGGUGCUAAUACCGGAUAUGACCAGAGAAGGCAUCUUUUCUGGUGGAAAGUUUUUCGGCUCGAGAUGGGCCCGCGGCCUAUCAGCUUGUUGGUGGGGUAACGGCCUACCAAGGCGACGACGGGUAACC
Molecule: ribosomal RNA, 247 nt
Filed under: uncultured bacterium
Lineage: Bacteria
Description: partial small subunit ribosomal RNA
Rfam family: Bacterial small subunit ribosomal RNA
Source: RNAcentral